RNAcentral lists this ribosomal RNA (301 nucleotides) under uncultured bacterium. RNAcentral describes it as "partial 16S ribosomal RNA". It matches the Rfam family "Bacterial small subunit ribosomal RNA", at positions 509 to 807 of the family's 1533-position model. The record is from RNAcentral.
CAGUAGCCGCGGUAAUACGAAGGGUGCAAGCGUUAAUCGGAAUUACUGGGCGUAAAGCGUGCGUAGGCGGUGAGUUAAGUCUGCUGUGAAAUCCCCGGGCUCAACCUGGGAAUGGCAGUGGAUACUGGCUCGCUAGAGUGUGUCAGAGGAUGGUGGAAUUCCCGGUGUAGCAGUGAAAUGCGUAGAGAUCGGAAGGAACAUCUGUGGCGAAGGCGACUAUCUGGGCCAACACUGACACUGAGGCACGAAAGCGUGGGGAGCAAACAGGAUUAGAUACCCCCGUAGUCCCUGUCUCUUAUAC